RNAcentral lists this ribosomal RNA (501 nucleotides) under uncultured bacterium. RNAcentral's name for it is "partial 16S ribosomal RNA". It matches the Rfam family "Bacterial small subunit ribosomal RNA", at positions 30 to 523 of the family's 1533-position model. The record is from RNAcentral.
AUUGAACGCUGGCGGCAGGCUUAACACAUGCAAGUCGAGCGGGGAAGGGUAGCUUGCUACCUAACCUAGCGGCGGACGGGUGAGUAAUGCUUAGGAAUCUGCCAUUUAGUGGGGGACAACAUUCCGAAAGGAAUGCUAAUACCGCAUACGUCCUACGAGAGAGAGCAGGGGAUCUUCGGACCUUGCGCUAAAUGAUGAGCCUAAGUCGGAUUAGCUAGUUGGUGGGGUAAAGGCCUACCAAGGCGACGAUCUGUAGCGGGUCUGAGAGGAUGAUCCGCCACACUGGGACUGAGACACGGCCCAGACUCCUACGGGAGGCAGCAGUGGGGAAUAUUGGACAAUGGGCGGAAGCCUGAUCCAGCCAUGCCGCGUGUGUGAAGAAGGCCUUAUGGUUGUAAAGCACUUUAAGCGAGGAGGAGGCUACUAGUAUUAAUACUACUGGAUAGUGGACGUUACUCGCAGAAUAAGCACCGGCUAACUCUGUGCCAGCCGCCGCGGUAA